GGCUCAAUUUGAAUAGCUCAAACUUGUUCCAUGGGGUUCAACCCUCAUCUAUAUAUGUUCUACAACUAACAAAGAUUCCAUUUUGCACAAGGACCCAUAUACCUUUUGCACUAAUUUUCUCCGAAAUUUGCUCCAAACAUUGCUAAUCGCUGUGAUUUUCAGACUUAGAAAUUUAUUUCAGCUUCUCGUCUGAAAUCAGCUCAACUUGAAAUCUUUGGGCUCCAUUAUAAAUUUGGAUCCUCCACUUUCUCUAGCCCGCAACACAUCCAAAACUUCCUUUAUCAAAGUUGGAGGAAAUCCAAAGUUCUACCUUUCAUAGGUUUGGACUUUUGGCUGAAUCUCGCUCCUUCCUCGUGAAAAAUGUCUCUGAACUUUUUUGGACAUUGAACUUCAACUUAACUGAAUUUUCUCCUUUUGAACCUUGCUGUCAGAAACUUCAAUAGACAAUUACGACAAAAAUCCAAACUGCUCUUUCAAAAGUCCCUUUAUAAAAGUUGUAGGAAAUUUGCUGAAUUUCAAUUCAUCUUACUACACCUCCUUCAGAUUCCC
RNAcentral lists this long non-coding RNA (549 nucleotides) under Setaria viridis. RNAcentral's name for it is "long non-coding RNA (SVIR_LNC000312)". Lineage: Eukaryota; Viridiplantae; Streptophyta; Magnoliopsida; Poales; Poaceae. The record is from RNAcentral.